GAUGAACGCUAGCUACAGGCUUAACACAUGCAAGUCGAGGGGCAGCAUGACGAUAGCUUGCUAUUGUUGAUGGCGACCGGCGCACGGGUGAGUAACGCGUAUCCAACCUGCCCUUGUCCACCGGAUAACCCGUCGAAAGGCGGACUAACACGGUAUGCAGUUCUCAGCGGGCAUCUAACGAGAACGACAUGUAAAGGAGAAGGAUGGGGAUGCGUCUGAUUAGCUUGUUGGCGGGGUAACGGACCACCAAGGCGACGAUCAGUAGGGGUUCUGAGAGGAAGGUCCCCCACAUUGGAACUGAGACACGGUCCAAACUCCUACGGGAGGCAGCAGUGAGGAAUAUUGGUCAAUGGGCGAGAGCCUGAACCAGCCAAGUAGCGUGCAGGAAGACGGCCCUAUGGGUUGUAAACUGCUUUUAUACGGGGAUAAAGUGGGUCACGUGUGGCUUAUUGCAGGUACCGUAUGAAUAAGGACCGGCUAAUUCCGUGCCAGCCGCCGCCGUAA
RNAcentral lists this ribosomal RNA (504 nucleotides) under uncultured bacterium. Its description in RNAcentral is "partial 16S ribosomal RNA". It matches the Rfam family "Bacterial small subunit ribosomal RNA", at positions 28 to 523 of the family's 1533-position model. The record is from RNAcentral.